RNAcentral lists this long non-coding RNA (6005 nucleotides) under Marmota monax (woodchuck). The record is from RNAcentral. Lineage: Eukaryota; Metazoa; Chordata; Mammalia; Rodentia; Sciuridae.
ACAGCUGCUAGGUGAGAACAAAAAAAUCAACAUUUUUUCUGAUUAAAAAAAAAAAAAAACUUGCAUAAGAAACAGGGAGCUUUUUUCAUGACCUUGAGGAGCAUGGAUGCUUCUAGCCACCUGUGCUAUCACACAUUAGUUCUUGAGUUUCUGCUCCUUGUUUUCAUCCCAUGCAGUUCUGAGUGAGUAGUUCCUCCCAUCUCAUUGUGAGGGAGCUAGGAAGCUUCCCAUACCCGGGGAAGCUAUGUAUCUUCAGAAAGUUUUACAAUUUUUUUUCUCUUCCCUGUCACUGUAUUUCACAAAACAACUACAUGUUAUUUCUGAGAAUAUGGAAAUUGAGUUCAUGGUUUUAGAUAUGUGAGAUGCUACACUGUGGGAGGUUUUUCUUCUGGUGGCAGAAUCUAGGAAGGAGGUGAGAAGCACCUCGUCCUUACCAGGGACUGAACAUUGCACAGCUUUUAAAAUCAACAGGCAAGAACAAGGAGAAAGAAGGCAGGGAGUGGGGAGUUGGGCAAGGGGUAAGAAGUUAAAAAAAAUGCUUCUCUUCUUCCCUGUUUGUUUCUCCUUUUCUUGAUCUUUUGCUCACACAACCCUUAUUCUGUUAGCUUCCCAUAUGCACUUGUCUGGUCUCAACUGUCCUUGACAAAUCACCCCAUCAAAAGAAGCAGAGUUGAGUAAAAGGCAAGACCUAGCAUCCAGGUAGGAGAAAAGGAACAGGGGCAGAUCAAGUGCUGUAUCUUGCUUUGCAGUUUUAGCUGGGAUAAAAUUCUUGCCCUGAAAUUGAAAUGAGUUAGUAAGUGGGGAAAGAGCUCAGUCUGAAUAAGUAGCAGAAAAUAGGGAACCAGAUCAGAGAUUCUCAAUGAUAAGAAAAAGAAUUCAUCUUUCUGAGGAUAGAAAUAGGUAGACGUGACAGCAAGUACAAACCUGAAGAACAAGCGACACAAGGAUCUGAAUUAGAAAUGAACCAGAAUUUUAAAAUUAUGCAUCUGACAGUUCUUGAGAUGCAACCAGGAAUAAUGCUGAAUAGUUACUGCGUUUUCUCCAUGCCAGUUUCUGUACUGAACACUCUACUUAUUUGUUAUGUGUUUUUCCUGACAUCAACCUGGUGAAUUCUGACCAGGGAGGUCAAAACAGAAAUUCAUUUAACAAAUGAGAAAGUUUAGGAUCAGAGGAGGUCAGCUGCCCAAAUGCUAUAGCCAGGAUAUGGGCUUGCCAGGUUCCAAAAUCCACGAUAUCUAUUUUUCUCUCAAAACACAAUGUUGUCAGCUUGAAAACUACAGAAGAAAAGCCAAAAAGUAAACCUUAACUAGAUUCUACCAUGUAAAAUGAACAUAGAGCUGCUCUGUCCACUGAAAAUAUAUAAUGUAAGCCAUAUAUUUGAUUUAAAAAUUUCAAGUAGUCACAUUCAAAAAGUAGAGGUAGCUGAAAUCAAUUUUAAUAAUGUCCCCUAAUUAAAUGCACACUUAAUUGAAUUUUACAUGUAAUUUCAACAUGUAAUCAAUAUAAAAAUUAUUUAUGAGAUGUUUUUACAUUCAUUUUUCAUACUAUGCCUACAAAACUCAGUGUGACUUUUAUUUUCAUCAUACAUCUUAAUGGGGUCCAGACGCAUAUGGCUAGUGACUCCUGUACGGACAAUAAAAAUGAAAAUAAUCCUUCCUAGCCCCUCCCCAAGGUGUCAAGCCUCCCCAUUUCAUCUUUUCCCAUUCCCCUAAAUGCAGUUUUCCUGGCCAUAUAUAUAAGUUUUGUCUAACCACAGAAGCUCCAAGGAAUCUCCUAUGUAGCCUUGAUUUGCAAUAAUGUAUAUAUUCUUGGUUUAUCAAGUCUUCUCAUAUAAAGCUGUCCAUAGAAGAGAGCUCCAAAUUAUUUACAGUCUAAUUCUGAAAAUACAAAGAUGUAAUUUUCAUUUCUCACGCUAAACUGUGCCUAACCGUUCUGAAAUCGUGCCAGCUACCUGGCAGAACUGUUAGAAUAUACUUUCCCCACCUCAACUGAAGGUGGGAAAAAAUGACUAGUGCCUUUCUUUCUGUGUUUUGAAAGAUAAUUUUGUUCUAGAGAAAAUGGAGCAUUGGGCACUCAGGUACAGUCAAUGACAAAUGUGAGACAUGUACCCAAGGAUGAUGUAAUAGAGGUUAGCCUCUCCAGAAAAGGAAGCCAAACUAGUCCCCUUGUAAAAUUUGUCAUUUUAAUAAUGACAGGUAAUUGCUCGCUUUUGCAUUUGAAGAAAAAAAAAUGUUCAUUAUUUGAGAUGAAACACUGUUGAGAAUAAAUACCAUGCCCAAAGGUAACUUUCUAUUCUGGCUAUUUGCAAUUGAUUCAACUCUAGUUCCAGUUACUCUGUAGCUAAGACAAAGCUUUAAAAUCUUAUUCAUGCCUUAAUAGAGAGUAUUAAAGAUUUGACUAAAUUUAUGUUUGACUGCAAUCAUUUGGAUAUGUAUAUUACACUUGGAAAAAAUCUAUAAUGCUUUGGUCUGUGUAGUAUAAUAUGCAACCCACUGUUAAAUAACAUUUAGUGUGAAUUUGAAUGAAGAUCUGUGAUCUGAACUCACUCAUGUAAAGCAGGUAAACUGUUUUAACUAAAUUAUUGAUAGAUCUGCAUUACAUUCCAGACAACCUUGCAUACUGAGUUAUGAAAUACCUUCAUAUUUUAUCUGUUUUCUUCCACAAACAGUACUUUUAUUUUUACUCUUUGAUCACUACACUAAAAUGACAAGAGCCAUUUGAUGAUGACACAGAUUCAUCCUCAGCAGAGUGAUGUUGUUUAAAAAACAGAGGGAAGCAGACAUCCAACAACAUCCUGCACAGUAGCCUGACAUUUCAACAGCAUUUGAGUCAGCCUGCUUGGUUUAAUUUUCAGAAGUGCCUGAGGUUCUGCAGCCUGGGACAUAGCAUCCCUGAUAUAUCUGACGCUGUGCUUUGUUUUCUCCCCUCUAAACUUUAAAGAGAAGGUAACUAUUUAUGUGUUCCCCAGAUUUUUUCUUAAAGACUCAGAGAAUGGAAGAGUAGGAAGAGAACUUACAGAGGAGGAAAUCUGAGGCCAAGGAAUUUAUCCAAGACCUCCAUGGGUCAAGGAAGCAGAAUUCCUUUACCCGGCAGUGCUGAUCCCAACACUGGACACUAGCCCAGGUUUCCAAGUGAGGUUAUUAUUUUUUUUUUACUAUAGUUCCUCCCAUUCCCCAUUUUAGGCUCAAGUGCUGACCAGUCACAGCAUGGGAUGCAGAGAGGCAGGUCUACGCAACACCUCCUCUCAAUAUCUUAAUUCAGCUUUAGAACUAGGUCCUCACAAAAUAGGCAUUUGGAAAAGUUCUGAAGUGCAUGUGCCCCUCUCAAAGGAUAAAGCCCCAGUCCAAAGUAGUUGGAGAGUGUUUAAAAAGCAAAAAGUGACUUUAGGUCAUGACCUGGUACCCAGGCUACAAGGAUUCCACCUAUCUGUCCAUCUAUCCAUUCAUAUCCAUUGAUUGACCUAUCAUUCGUCCACUCAUCAGUCCAUUUUUACCUAUCAUCUAUCUUCUACCUAUCCUUUCAUCCAUGUGUCUAUUUUACAGAAGUAUCUUCUAAAAAUAGGUUAUUUAGUUAGUUCUAAGCAGAAAAGAUCUGAAAACUUGAUCUCUCCUUCAAUAAAGGUAGCUUGUAUGAUUUAAAUAAAUCCCAAAGAUUUGCUCUUCUACCUGGUAUUGGAGUCACAGUUCACUAAAAUAUAAGAGCUUUGAGGGGACAAUGUGGACAAAGAGGAUGAUUUGAGAUUUCUGUGAUGAUUACGGCUGCUCUUUCCUUUUCCUGCCUAUUUCUACCCAUAUGUUCUAGUUCUCUCUAUCUCUGGUUAUAAUUAGUAGGAAUUAAACCCUCCCUUUGGACUUUAUUGAUUCAGAAAAUAUCUUUUAAUUGGCUGUGGUCUAUUACAGACCUUGUCCUAGGUAAAGAUGGUAUGAAGCUGAGGAGAGCAGGGAAGCUGCAGCAGGUUUGCUAAGGACCAUGAGAACAGUCUUAGCCAAGCAAUUUGCUGACCUUCCCCCAGAAGGACAGUAAGAACUGGAAAGGGCAAAGACGCAGCAUAGCAUGGGACAGAGGGAUGUGAUGGCACCCUAUCUCUUGAGAGCUGCCCUGCUCAAGGUGGCUGCGGCAAAAUCAUGGGCAGAGACGAUGGGAAACUAGCAUGGUUAGAGAACAUUCCAUCAGGGUUUGUGGACAAUAAAUUAACUGGCAUACAGUAGGGUGAGGAACAUCUGCUGUCAACUGACAUUUAAAUAGCAAUUGCCAGUGGAAAGUAAGCAUAUGGUUAGUUGAAUGAAGAGUCAGGAAAAGAGAAAUACAUUCAAUAAAAGGUUUUAAUGCUUUCUCAAUUUAUACAUUAGUGUUUGCCAAUCUGCUUCUGCAAACCAGUUGAGACCUUGAUCUCACUCACUGACCUUGUCUGACCCAAGAAACCCAAUAGAGCACCAACCUAGACUUAGAAUCUAAUCUCUUAAGACCGUGGUUCUUUUUCAAAGAGGGGUCCCUGCAACAGCAGAAUCAGCACCACUUGGGAACAUACUAGAAAUGCAAACUUUCAGGCCCCAACCCAGAGGUACACAAUUAGAGACUCUGGGAGUGGAGUUCUGUGAUCAGGAGUGAACAAGUUCUCCAGAUGAUUCUGGUGCUUUCUCCAGCUGGAGAAAACAGUCUAAGAGAAGCAUAAAUUGAGGUGAAGCCCGUGUCAAUGAACAUGGGCCCAAUCACUAUCUCCUGCUUGCCUUUGGAGAAUCAUAUUUUAAUAUAUAUCUGUGGUCUGAACUGACAAUAAUUAAGAACUGCCUCCCUCUGGUUCCUCUUCCUGAUGACCACCCUGCUAGGUCCUCUCCUUUCUGAGAAGCCAGCUCUCCUUUUUGGUCCUGUUUCAAUUCUUCUUUCUCCCUCUAUACCCUUUCCUUCUAUCUUCUCAUUCCCCACCCCCCAUUCCUUUCCUCUUUCACCUCCAUGGGUCUCUCUUUUUACAUGUUUCUCCAGUAUGUUAAGCAAUGGCAACUCCCUUUCUUUCUUAUCUGCUUUCCCUCCCUUUCCACUCCUCCAUCUUUUCCAAGAACCACAAAGCAAGCCGCAUGCAACCUUGUCAGCUCAUACCUCUCCUUUUCCAGUAUUUUCUCAGUUGGGCUCGAGAAGAUGACUGAAUCAGCUGCAGAAUAGCCAGCAGCUGGAUGCCAGAGAGUGCUUCACACUCAUUGCUAAUUUUGCCAAAGUAGAGAGGCUAUAGAUUCAGCUCAAAUGGGAUGUAGCUAGACAUGAACUGAGGUGCGCUCACCACUGAGAGCCCACUCUAGGUCCCAUAUCUUCUGACUCUGCUAAGAUUUUCUUGGACAACUUGCAGUGACCCCUCAGCUUAGUGACCCUUGUCUAAACAAAUCUGCCUCCUUGUCCUCUUUCUUAUUGAGAAAUUUUCUUUAGGAGAAGCUACAAGAGCUGUUGGGGUUUGGUUUCCAAAGAAGGGCACAGGCCACAGCUUUAAAAUGAUGUAAAUGCCACAGAUGGCUGCUUCUGUCUACAAAGACAGAUGGUUUGAUGUCCCAUCCUUGCCCCAGCAAUUUGAUGGAGCCCAGAAACAAACUCUCUCCUCAGUGUGACUCCAUCCACCAUGUGGAGGCCAGAGACCUCUGAAAUGUGGCACAGAAGCAGAUUUCAAAUGGCCCACAAUUUGCUAAGCAUUACAUCCAUCUCAUUUUGCUCUACAAGCUUCAGUACAAGAAGAAAACUAUAAAUCGCUACAGUAACAAAUAUAUAUUUCUAAAAUAAGCCCUCCUGUCUAGGAGCUGUAUGACAGCCACUUGCACUCAAAGUAAAUAGCAUUUAGGGUCGUCAUUGUGGUUUAGUGCCUAUGUUCCUUUAUGAUGCAUGGAAAAUGAACAACUGGAAUCCAUUAAAUAAAUAUUUUUCUAUGUGGAUCUCAACUGUCUGUGGCUGGUGUGACUUUCUAUGCAAACACCUUGCUCUAAAUGCUCUGAUAGUAAAACCCUCAAGUGUGGUAUAGCUACAUAGGC